UAUUCUCAACUCUCCAAUACUUUGUUGUAAAGGAGAGCUUGGAUUGUGGAGGUUUGCUGGCCCCUUACUUGGGGUCAGCUCCUCUGAAAUGCAUUAGCGGAACCGUCUGCGAUCUGCCACAAGUGUGAUAACUUAUCUACACUGGCGAGGGGAUUGCUUUCUGAUGUUCAGCUUCUAAUCGUCUAAGGACAAUUUCUUGAAU
RNAcentral lists this unclassified non-coding RNA (202 nucleotides) under Agaricus bisporus (cultivated mushroom). Its description in RNAcentral is "partial internal transcribed spacer 2". Lineage: Eukaryota; Fungi; Basidiomycota; Agaricomycetes; Agaricales; Agaricaceae. The record is from RNAcentral.